ACGUACACUCCUACGGGAGGCAGCAGUGGGGAAUAUUGGACAAUGGGCGCAAGCCUGAUCCAGCCAUGCCGCGUGAGUGAUGAUGGCCCUAGGGUUGUAAAGCUCUUUCACCGGUGAAGAUAAUGACGGUAACCGGAGAAGAAGCCCCGGCUAACUUCGUGCCAGCAGCCGCGGUAAUACGAAGGGGGCUAGCGUUGUUCGGAUUUACUGGGCGUAAAGCGCACGUAGGCGGACUAUUAAGUCAGGGGUGAAAUCCCGGGGCUCAACCCCGGAACUGCCUUUGAUACUGGUAGUCUUGAGUUCGAGAGAGGUGAGUGGAAUUCCGAGUGUAGAGGUGAAAUUCGUAGAUAUUCGGAGGAACACCAGUGGCGAAGGCGGCUCACUGGCUCGAUACUGACGCUGAGGUGCGAAAGCGUGGGGAGCAAACAGGAUUAGAAACCCCGGUAGUCCCAUG
RNAcentral lists this ribosomal RNA (454 nucleotides) under uncultured organism. Its description in RNAcentral is "partial 16S ribosomal RNA". It matches the Rfam family "Bacterial small subunit ribosomal RNA", at positions 329 to 799 of the family's 1533-position model. The record is from RNAcentral.